UUCCUACGGGGAGCAGCAGUAGGGAAUCUUCCGCAAUGGACGAAAGUCUGACGGAGCAACGCCGCGUGAGUGAUGAAGGUUUUCGGAUCGUAAAGCUCUGUUGUUAGGGAAGAACAAGUACCGUUCGAAUAGGGCGGUACCUUGACGGUACCUAACCAGAAAGCCACGGCUAACUACGUGCCAGCAGCCGCGGUAAUACGUAGGUGGCAAGCGUUGUCCGGAAUUAUUGGGCGUAAAGGGCUCGCAGGCGGUUUCUUAAGUCUGAUGUGAAAGCCCCCGGCUCAACCGGGGAGGGUCAUUGGAAACUGGGGAACUUGAGUGCAGAAGAGGAGAGUGGAAUUCCACGUGUAGCGGUGAAAUGCGUAGAGAUGUGGAGGAACACCAGUGGCGAAGGCGACUCUCUGGUCUGUAACUGACGCUGAGGAGCGAAAGCGUGGGGAGCGAACAGGAUUAGAUACC
Molecule: ribosomal RNA, 459 nt
Filed under: Bacillus sp. (in: firmicutes)
Lineage: Bacteria; Bacillati; Bacillota; Bacilli; Caryophanales; Bacillaceae
Description: bacterial SSU rRNA
Rfam family: Bacterial small subunit ribosomal RNA
Source: RNAcentral